This is a long non-coding RNA of Magnolia sinica, 3274 nucleotides long. RefSeq lists it as uncharacterized. The transcript has 4 exons. The record is from RefSeq and is a predicted model, not a curated record. NCBI's taxonomy places the organism in Eukaryota, Viridiplantae, Streptophyta, Magnoliopsida, Magnoliales, Magnoliaceae.
ACCGUAUCAUUUGUUUCUUAAGUGGUUUUCUUCUUCUUCUUCUUCUUCAAAUUUAUCUCCAUUCAUUGAAAGUUUUUUGCAUAUGAACUUAUUCCAUUGAUUACUUUAUCAAGCAGUUGUACAUUGUAAUAUAACAUUGUAGAAGUAGCUUUAGAAAUUUGAAACUUUUUUUUUUAAUUUAAAAUUUUAAAGGUAGAAAUUUGAAACUUGAUAUCAGUGAAUGGGGGACCCAGAUCCAGAGUUGUCUGGAAGCUUGGUUGAGUACUCAGCUGAUUCACUCAAACAUUUUUUGUUUUUUGAAAUAAUACUUUAUUUCACUUGGGGUUGUGGAUUAGGUGAGUACCUAACUAUGGAGCCCACCUUGAUGUAUGUGUUGUACAUCCACUCUGUCCAUCAGUUUUUUAGCUCAUUUUAAAGCAUGGUCCAGAAAAUGACAUAGAUCUAAAUCUCCAAAUGGGCCUUGCCUAAGAUCUUUAAAUUGGAAGGUCCUAGCUGUUUAAUCUUUAUCCUAUUUUCAUUUUCGCCUGGAGUUGUAUUGAGUUAAUGCAAAUAUCCCUCGUGGUGAUAUUUGCCAGCUACUUCUCGUUGUGAAUGCUAAGGUUUCAUCAUUAUUUUUUGUCACUUCCUCUUGGCUAAACUGAAUUCUUUAGGACUGAAACUACAAAAUCUGUGGGUACUGUUGCUAAGAUGCAGUUAAAGAUCUGUGGAGGAUGCUGAUGUUGUCUAUGCAUGCUGAGAAAGAAACACGAUUGGAAAAUGCUUGUUGUUUUAAUACAUGCAGUAUUUUUGGAUGCAAGUUGUUUUAUAUGCUUGUUACCUUCUUUGUCAUCAGAGUGGAAAAUGCACCCUUCCUAGCCAUUUGUCUGUUGGAGCAAGUGAUUUGAUCACCUAAUGACAAUUCCUGAGAUUCGUCAACAUCCACAGUUCCAACAUCAUCUUCCUGGCUACUUAGCCAUUCCUGCAAUAGAUGUGUUGCAAAGAGUGAAACGGGUACUACACUUUCUUACCACUUGAUGGAAAUUUUAGUUGGAAAAUAUCUUUAAAUAAAGUUGCCUUUUUCAAAUUAUAAGUCAUAAAUUAUUUUUUGCAAGCAAUGAAUUUUUUUUAAAUAAAAUUUUAUUUUCUCUUGAUUCAAAUGCAUAUAUAACCACUGUAUAGAGCACUGAAAAACAUUCAAUGUGUAGUGCCUAAAAGCUUGUUCUUGGUUGGAAAUGUAAAGAGCUGAAAUAUUUUCCAACAAGUUGUAACUUCAUCUUUUAGCCUUCUCUCCAUUAUUCUUCUUUUCGUUACAAUUUUCAAUCUAAAGCAUGGUACUGUCCUAGGUAAUUGGAAAAUGUAGGUUCAAAAUCAUCAAAAUCUAAAGUACAAUGGAACAAUACAAGGCUUGAAGUAUAUAUGGAGAACUGAAGGUUUUCGUGGCCUAUUUAAUGGCAAUGGUACCAAUUGUGCACGGCAUAGUGCCAAACUCGGUAGUCAAGUUUUUUUAUAGCUAUGAGCAAUCAUUUAGGCUAUCUUGCGAGCCAAAGCCGGGUCUAUCUUAUUGACAAAGAAUUCAAUGUUGUAGGAUACACCUUACUUCUCAGCUUGAUUGAGUAUAGAACUCUUGAGAUGCGUGGAGAUCUAGACCGGGCAAAUGAAAUCUUGCUCUCAAUUCCGAAUGACCAUCAUGACAAGUUCUUUCCAUAUUUCACCAUUUACAGAAAAGCAUUUUAGCAUUUGGCAAUGUUGGCGUCUUGGCGAAUGUUUUCCAACCCAACGUAUUCAUGUAGUUAUUUAUGGAAGGUGGAAUUUUAGUGUUAGAUGAUGAAAAUAACAGUUUUUUCUUUUAAAGAUGUGAAAAAGUAAAGGUAGCUUAAAUCAGAAGAGCUUUUCUUUGACUCUUUUUUUUCUUUUGAAAGUGUAAAAUCAGAAGAGCUUUUCUUUGAGACGCCUGUUCUUUUGAAACCCAGUACAAAAUGUCGGGGGCAUAUAUUAACCACAGUAUCAAAAUUGGUGGUGAUUGGCCCUCUUAUGAAAUUUUAAGCUGUUAUAGGACAUAAUUUAUCUGAAAUUGGAACCAGUUUAUUAGUGUAAGUUGCAGUCCAGUCUACAUAUACUACAAGUCCUGAUUUUUUUUAUUUUUUAUUUUGACAGGCUACUACAACUCCAGAAUUUCUAGUCUCUGUUGACAUAUUAUUAGAUCAACAUUUUUGGAAACUUCUGACCUAUCUCUCUCAUCACCUUGUUGCCAUGUUAUGAUUUUCCUAUUCUUGUCGCAUGUCAUUAGAAUCUGAAAUUUUAGAUUUAGUAUUGGCAACAUAGAGUUCUGUUGUUGCCCAUUCUUAUUCUGCUUGAUCUACUUGAUGUCGAAACUGUAAAGGUCUGACAGUAAACAACCUUUUUAAGUUUCCAACCUCUUCUCCCUUAUGGUUGUAAAUUGUAAUAUAUAUGAGAAUUUUCUUGAUAUAGUCAUUUUCAUGCAAUAAAAUGUUAUGAAGACAAUGUAUAUAUGCAUCUUUUGAGAUAUUUUUCUUUGUUAAUGUGUUUUCAAUUAUGAUCAAUGAUUUGGGUUAUGUAUUUUCCUAAUAGUUUCUCGGCUGCUAUAUCCUAAACCUAAGAUUCUUCCUAUUUAUGUGUGUUAUGUUGAACUUGUCUUGAAUUCUGAUAGUCUUGAAAACUGUAUUUUACUUGCCAUAGUGUGGCUCAUUUCUUGGAAUCUUAAGGUAUGUUAGAGGAUGCACUUGAAGUUGCUACCGAUCCUAAUUACAGAUUUGAUAUAGUUGUCCAGCUUGGGAGAUUAGAGGUUGCAAAGGCAAUUGCUGUUGAAGUAACAAGUGAAUCCAAAUGGAAGCAAUUAGGAGAAUUGGCUAUGUCUACUGGAAAGGUACUUAUUUAACUUGAAUAGUCAUGGUGUUUCAUGGGAGGUGAUUAAUGGGCAUAGGGUGUGUUCUAGAAUUUUGAACAUUUAAAAGUUUUGUUUUCAAGCUUGUAGAGCCUCAUAAUAAAAUUCUGGUUUUCUGGGAUCUAGAAAAGCUAAGUACUUGUUUGUGUUGAUCAGAAUAAGUGCCAGAUAAAGUAAAUCUAGAUGGAUUAAUCAUACUGGCUAAAGUAAUCUUAGAUGGAUUAAUCAUACUCUUGGUGAGGAUGACUUAUUGAAAUGAGUAAUAUGACAGUUGCCACGCAUGCCAUUGUCAAAGUGGCAUUUAUCUGAAUUCCUGACAACUCAUUGGGUUAGCUUGAAACAUUUUAUCUGAUGGAAAUGAGAAGCACAGAGAAUUAAGCAAGGUUUUCAUGA